AUGCUCCGAGCGGAGCCGUCGGAAGAGGACGCUGGAAGAUGGAUGGAUGCUCCCGUCAGCGCCGGCCUCGUGACCGGGAAAGGCGCCAGGAGAAGGUGGCACCGAGAUCCCAAAGGAUCAGAGCCACAGCACCGCCACGGAUCCCUGGGAUGGAUCCCAGCGGCUCUGACAGCACGGGAAGGCAACGGAUUCCAGCACAACCCUGGAUCCCAGCGAGACGGGGACCCCGGGGAUGGGGGAUCCUUAGGGAUGGAGGAAUCCCUAUGGAUUCACCAGCUCCAUUUCACCCCAACAGCAACUGCAGCAUCGUGGAUGGCCCAAAUCCUGGGGUGUGACGGGCUGGGGGGUCUCCCUGCACCCCCAAUCCUUCAAAGGCCUGAAAUUCCCGAAAAACCGCGGCUGCCUGUGCAAUCCCAACCCCCACCCGGGAGCACCGAGGAACAGGAGUCAAAUCCUCCCACACUCCUGCCAGGAGGAGGCUGCUCCCAUUCCCGUGCUCCCCCUUCCUCCUCCUCCUCCUCCUCCUCCUCUCGCCCGGCAGCGGCCGAGGAGCCUCCAGAAAAUCAAAUGGACAUUAAAAAAAAACCGGAUCAAAAACGCUCUGGAAAAGCCGAUGGAUCCCGGCGCAUCCUCCCUGCUCCCAGAUUCCCAAAUCUCCUCCUCUCUUCCCGGCAAUCCACCCCCUCCCCCCGCCAUCACAGAUCCCUUUUCCAGCUCCAAGGGGAGGGGAAAGCGCCCAACCGCCUGGAUUUUGGGAAUCUGGGGAAGGAUUCUCCUCGGGAGCAGCAAUCCUCAUCCCUGGAAGCAGAAAUCCUCUCGGAUCUCCUCCUGGGAGAGGAUGCAGCUUCCCAAAUGCGGAUGGGGAAGGGUCCGUGCCCUCCCCUCCCCGGUGCGGCGUUUCCAUCCCGAUCCCACCCAAAAACCGGGCAGGGGCGCCGGCAGCGCCGGAGGCUCCUGCUCCGCGUUAUCCCAGGGAUGGCAAAGUUUCCCUGCUGGCUCCGAGCUGGGGAAGCGGCACCGGGAAGUGAGGGGGGCAGCAGGAAAAGAGGGAGAAUCCCGCGGGGCGGAAAUCCUGGAAGAGGCCAGGACCCGCUUCCAGCAGGGAACGGGAAAAGGACCGGGAACGGCUCCCGAACCUCGGCACGGACGGCUGGGAACAAAGGGGGGCUGAUCCAGGGCUCCCAAUCCCCCAAAUCCCUCCGGGAACCCCGGGCAGCCCCCGCGCCUCUCCCGUUCUCCCGGGGGAUUCCCCAAAUCCCCCGGGCUGACCCCCAAAACGCCUCAGCUCUGCUCCCCAAAAUCCCUGAGCUCUGCUCCCCAAAUCCCUGA
Molecule: long non-coding RNA, 1329 nt
Filed under: Parus major (Great Tit)
Lineage: Eukaryota; Metazoa; Chordata; Aves; Passeriformes; Paridae
Description: lncRNA (ENSPMJG00000003069.1)
Source: RNAcentral